RNAcentral lists this long non-coding RNA (257 nucleotides) under Ananas comosus (pineapple). RNAcentral's name for it is "long non-coding RNA (ACOM_LNC042334)". Lineage: Eukaryota; Viridiplantae; Streptophyta; Magnoliopsida; Poales; Bromeliaceae. The record is from RNAcentral.
UAAAUUUUCGGAUUGUGGAUUGGUGGCAGUUUGGUGGUCGAGUGCGAGUUCGGGCCGAACCGGGCGGCGUGUAUCGCGGGAGGCCGAUUGCAAGUGAUUACAAGCAAUCGGAAAGCGAUUUGAGGUGGGUUAUGCUCGCCGAAAUGUUUAGCUCACUUCCAUGCCAAAGUGAAGUGUGAAUAUUGUUGAUGCAUAUGUAGUUGGUAGGGUGUAUGUGAUAAUAUGAAGUGCAUAAAUCAUGUUAUACUAGAUGUUGU